Molecule: long non-coding RNA, 730 nt
Organism: Cucumis melo (muskmelon)
Lineage: Eukaryota; Viridiplantae; Streptophyta; Magnoliopsida; Cucurbitales; Cucurbitaceae
Exons: 2
Source: RefSeq, a predicted model, not a curated record
GUAUCGAAGCCGCGAACGCGCCCGCCUCCAGCCGACGAACGAACCCGAACCCGGAACCGCCCGCGCGCUCGAACCUGGAACCGCCCGCGCGCCCGAACCCGGAACCGAACCCGCGCCCGUGCCACACGUGCCUGACUCUCCCGCGUGCAAGCGCGCCGCGCCGUGUGUUCCGCGUAGCCGAGCCGCGUCCCCUCCCUGUAGCAAGCCGAGCCGCACGCGAAGUCCCCAUACCGAGCCGAGCCGCGUCUGCACCAAGCCGAGCCGGUCCUGCCUUCUUCCAGCCGAGCCGCCAAGCCUGUUUUGGCUCCUUCCACCUAAAUUUUUGGUAAUUUCCAAAUUCCCUAGCCUGCCCAGUAAUUAAAUGAGUUAAUUUGGAAAUUUAAUUAAUUUAAUUACUUUCCUCAAGAAGCAAAUUGGACCAAAUAGCUGCUGCAGCUUAGGACUUCCUCAGUAGGAACUCAUCUAGCAACAUCUCGAGGUAGAGGACGAGGCAAGGGCAAGGGCAAGCUGGCGAGCGACGUGAAGUGACCGUGGCGAGCCAUAGGGGUUUUCCUGCUUCCGCACAUGUUUUACUUUACAGUUAAAUUCAUGUUUCGGCUUUCUGCAUGUUUACUUUGGUUAUUUUUGUAGAUAGGGCCCGCUUAGGGAUUUUAAACUUAACUCGUAUUUCUACAUGUUACUUUAACUAUCUUUCAUAAAUACAUUUGCUAGAUUUCUUUGCAUUUAUUUA